CAAUUAUAAAAAUCUGAAAAAAAUUAAAAUCUCAAAUCUAGAAACACCAAAACAUAAAACCAUUAGAUGUGCUCUAUUAAAUAUUAGAUCACUGAGAUCCAAAUCUCUACUAGUAAAUGACCUUAUCUCAGAAAAUAACUUUGAUUUAUUCUGUUUAACUGAAACAUGGCUGUAUCAAGAUGAAUAUGUUAGUUUAAAUGAAGCCACUCCUCCCAGUCAUUUAAAUACUCAUAUGCCACGAGACAUAGGCCGUGGAGGUGGUGUAGCAGCUAUUUAUCAUUCCUCUCUCCUAAUCUAUCCUAAACCAAAGGCCAGUUACACUUCCUUUGAAAGCCUGGUUCUAAAUUUAUCUCAUAUCGAAUCAAAAACCUGCCAGCCAGUCUUAUUUGCGAUAAUUUACCGUCCUCCAGGCCCUUAUUCUGAAUUUCUAUCAGAAUUCUCUGAGUUUAUAUCAAACUUAGUCCUCAGUUCUGAUAAAAUACUGAUAGUAGGAGAUUUUAAUAUCCAUGUGGACAAAGAUAGUGAUAGCCUGAGCUCAGCCUUUAUGUCCCUAAUAGACUCAGUUGGCUUUUUUCAAACUAUUAAUGAAGCUACUCAUCGUUUAAAUCAUACUCUUGAUCUUGUUCUAACAUAUGGCCUUGAUAUUAAUGAACUAAAAGUCUACCCUGAAAAUCCUCUGCUAUCAGAUCACUUUUUAAUAUCUUUUAACAUUAUCCUAGAGGAUCUCGCACUGUGCAAUAAAAUAGUUACAAGUAGAAAUCUAUCCAACAGUGCUGUGGCUAAAUUUAAAGAGGCCAUUCCUGCUGCCUUAAACUCAGUGCACCAUCCAAUAAAUAACUAUGAUAUUAAUUAUAGCCCCUCUCAACUGGAUCUGCUUGUCGAUAGCUCUGCUAGUCUACUAAAAUCCACCUUGGACUCAAUUGCCCCAUUGAGGGAAAAAACUAUUAAACGUCAGAGGAAAGCUCCGUGGUUUAGCUCUGAAACUCACACACUCAAACAGACAACCCGUAAAUUAGAGAGAAUGUGGCGCUCCAAUAAAACAGAGGAGUCACGAAUACUUUGGCAAGAAAGCCAUAGUAAAUACAUGACAGCCUUACGACAUAGUCGAUCUACAUACUACUCCUCACUAAUUGAAGAAAAUAAAAAUAAUCCGAGGUACCUUUUCAGCACUGUAGCCAGGCUAACACAAAGUCAGAGCUCUAUUGAGCCCAUGAUUCCUCUAGCCCUCAGCUGUGAGGACUUUAUGACAUUUUUUAACGAUAAAAUUCACAAGAUUAGAGAUAAAAUUAGCCACUCCCUGCCUUCACCUGGGCCUGCUGUACCAUUAAAUGUAAAUAGGCCUAACCUAAACUGUUUCACACAUAUAGGACUUCAGGAACUUAACUCUAUUAUUUCAUCCUCCAAACCAUCGACCUGCCUUUCAGAUCCGAUCCCAACUAAGCUGUUUAAAGAAGUUAUUCCCCUAGUCUGCCCAUCUUUGUUGGAGACAAUAAAUAUAUCCCUAUCAAUAGGCUACGUGCCACAGUCCUUUAAAGUAGCUGUAAUCAAACCCCUUCUCAAAAAACCUACUCUUGAUUCCAGCACUUUAGCAAACUACAGGCCUAUAUCUAAUCUUCCUUUUAUUUCAAAGAUUCUUGAGAAAGUUGUGGCAGCUCAGCUCUGUGAAUUUCUUCAAAACAACAGCCUGUUCGAGGACUUCCAGUC
Molecule: long non-coding RNA, 1704 nt
Organism: Gouania willdenowi (blunt-snouted clingfish)
Lineage: Eukaryota; Metazoa; Chordata; Actinopteri; Blenniiformes; Gobiesocidae
Source: Ensembl